UGGGCGUAAGGGCUCGCAGGCGGUUUCUUAAGUCUGAUGUGAAAGCCCCCGGCUCAACCGGGGAGGGUCAUUGGAAACUGGGGAACUUGAGUGCAGAAGAGGAGAGUGGAAUUCCACGUGUAGCGGUGAAAUGCGUAGAGAUGUGGAGGAACACCAGUGGCGAAGGCGACUCUCUGGUCUGUAACUGACGCUGAGGAGCGAAAGCGUGGGGAGCGAACAGGAUUAGAUACCCUGGUAGUCCACGCCGUAAACGAUGAGUGCUAAGUGUUAGGGGGUUUCCGCCCCUUAGUGCUGCAGCUAACGCAUUAAGCACUCCGCCUGGGGAGUACGGUCGCAAGACUGAAACUCAAAGGAAUUGACGGGGGCCCGCACAAGCGGUGGAGCAUGUGGUUUAAUUCGAAGCAACGCGAAGAACCUUACCAGGUCUUGACAUCCUCUGACAAUCCUAGAGAUAGGACGUCCCCUUCGGGGCAGAGUGACAGGUGGUGCAUGGUUGUCGUCAGCUCGUGUCGUGAGAUGUUGGGUUAAGUCCCGCAACGAGCGCAACCCUUGAUCUUA
This 558-nucleotide ribosomal RNA is filed under the name Bacillus sp. (in: firmicutes). RNAcentral describes it as "bacterial SSU rRNA". It matches the Rfam family "Bacterial small subunit ribosomal RNA", at positions 555 to 1113 of the family's 1533-position model. Lineage: Bacteria; Bacillati; Bacillota; Bacilli; Caryophanales; Bacillaceae. The record is from RNAcentral.